AGAGUUUGAUCCUGGCUCAGGACGAACGCUGGCGGUGUGCUUCACACGUGCAAGUCGAACGAGGUAGCAAUACCUAGUGGCGGACGGGUGAGUAACGCGUGGGAAUCUGCCUUUAGAUGGGGGAUAACGAGCCGAAAGGUUCGCUAAUACCGCAUAUGCCGCAAGGUGAAAGGAGUAAUCCGUCUAAAGAUGAGCCCGCGUCCGAUUAGCUAGUUGGUGGGGUAAAGGCCUACCAAGGCGACGAUCGGUAGCUGGUCUGAGAGGAUGAUCAGCCACAAUGGGACUGAGACACGGCCCAUACUCCUACGGGAGGCAGCAGUGGGGAAUUUUACGCAAUGGGGAAACCCUGACGUAGCGACACCGCGUGAGCGAAGAAGCCCCUUGGGGUGUAAAGCUCUGUCAGCUGGAACGAAACAAAUGACGGUACCAGCAGAGGAAGCAUCGGCUAACUACGUGCCAGCAGCCGCGGUAAGACGUAGGAUGCGAGCGUUGUCCGGAUUUAUUGGGCGUAAAGAGUUCGUAGGUGGUUUGUUAAGUUUGAUGUUAAAGAUCGGGGCUCAACCUCGGGACAGCAUUGAAUACUGGCAGACUUGAGUAUGGUAGAGGCUAGUGGAAUUCCCAGUGUAGCGGUGAAAUGCGUAGA
This 643-nucleotide ribosomal RNA is filed under the name uncultured bacterium. Its description in RNAcentral is "bacterial SSU rRNA". It matches the Rfam family "Bacterial small subunit ribosomal RNA", at positions 8 to 694 of the family's 1533-position model. The record is from RNAcentral.